AUACGGAGGGUGCAAGCGUUACUCGGAAUCACUGGGCGUAAAGCGCGCGCAGGCGGUCUUUUAAGUUGGAUGUGAAAGCCUACGGCUCAACCGUAGAACUGCGUCCAAAACUAUUAGACUAGAGUGUGGGAGAGGAAGAUGGAAUUAGUUGUGUAGGGGUAAAAUCCGUAGAGAUAACUAGGAAUACCAAAAGCGAAGGCAAUCUUCUGGAACACUACUGACGCUGAGGCGCGAAAGCGUGGGGAGCAAACAGGAUUAGAUACCCUAGUAGUCC
Molecule: ribosomal RNA, 274 nt
Filed under: uncultured bacterium
Lineage: Bacteria
Description: partial 16S ribosomal RNA
Rfam family: Bacterial small subunit ribosomal RNA
Source: RNAcentral